Molecule: non-coding RNA, 45 nt
Filed under: Schistosoma mansoni
Lineage: Eukaryota; Metazoa; Platyhelminthes; Trematoda; Strigeidida; Schistosomatidae
Source: RNAcentral
AUUCGGCUGACGACUUCCAAAUAGGAAGAAAUGUGCGUCCUGGAU